GCAGGAUACGAUUUUUUUGGCUGAGGUCAAGCUACCAAGGUGCAGUUACCCACUACCCAAUUGGAUUCCUCUUCUAUUACGUAAUUGGAAAUACCACAUCCCAAUCCCGGCAGAUGAAAAACACAAGCAAACAGAGGUUUGAUAAAUUCCCAGCAAUCAUUCAAUGGGUAUGUGUUGUAGCUGGACAGUUAGCCCUGAAAACGCUCUGCAGGUGUCUCUCUAACUCAGCACCCGGAGAGCAUCCAGGCAAAGGGCUCAUCCUCCCUCAUUCUGUGCCCUGUGGUGCUCACCUGGGACCUCCAGUCAAAUGCCAACAACAGCAACGGAAGGAACAGGAAACUGACAUGGAGACUGCAGUUAAACAGGCCGUGGAACAGUUUAAAUAAAG
Microtus oregoni (creeping vole) is the source of this 388-nucleotide long non-coding RNA. RefSeq lists it as uncharacterized. The record is from RefSeq and is a predicted model, not a curated record. The transcript is spliced from 3 exons. NCBI's taxonomy places the organism in Eukaryota, Metazoa, Chordata, Mammalia, Rodentia, Cricetidae.